CACUCUUCAGUCUUCACGAAUAAUCCAGGCCGAGACUAGGCUUCAGAGUUCAGUCUAAGGUCUUCAUCGUUUUGAGUCACUUCUCUCUCGCGUUCUCACUCUUCACUCUUCAGAGUUCAGUCUUCGCUCGAUCGAAUCCUUCUCUCUCAUGUCUCUCGAUCUCACUGUCACGGUGUCACCAUCUCAUCGAAGGUUCGAAACACUUUGCCCUCUUUGUCUCUCAAGUCUCUCGAUCAUUCCGUUUCCGCCGGUGAGAGGUCGCCGCCCCGGUACUCCUUACGUUCAUCUGCUAGACAGCGUCCAUAUCAACAGUUAUGGGUCAUAUUUUAAUUCCAGCUAUUCCAAAUGGAUGAUCCGGAGGUGAAAAGCACGCAGAUCGCGCAGCGUAAGCGGUAUGAGGAUCGGGAUGCUAUGAAUUCAUCAAAGCACAGUAAAGGAUCACAGUCUAGUGAUGCCAGCAAUGGCGGUUACGAUCCGAUUAGUCAGUGUGCGACAUUGCUCACUGAGCUUUCCCUGAGGCUAGAUCCUCAACAACUUGUUCGUGCAAUUAAAGAAUUACUAAACCCAGAUAUGCGGCAAUUCUUCUUGUCAUUGGAUGCCGUCGGGAGGGAUGAUUGGGCCCGUAAUUGUUAAAGUAUGAUGCAUGAGUUGUAUUUUAUUCUUUAUGGCAUUGUGACUCUAUUUAUUUUCUCAUACCUUUCAUGAGAUGAGUUUUUGGUUUGAUGAGUUUAUGUAUUGUUACUUUUUCCACCAUCGUUGUAUAGACCAUUAAUUUAGAUGAAGUAGAUGAGGGUCUGAUUUUAAGAGCUAAGGCCCUGUUUAGAUUGUGCA
Molecule: RNA transcript, 831 nt
Organism: Juglans regia (Persian walnut)
Lineage: Eukaryota; Viridiplantae; Streptophyta; Magnoliopsida; Fagales; Juglandaceae
Exons: 3
Source: RefSeq, a predicted model, not a curated record